RNAcentral lists this ribosomal RNA (484 nucleotides) under uncultured bacterium. RNAcentral describes it as "partial 16S ribosomal RNA". It matches the Rfam family "Bacterial small subunit ribosomal RNA", at positions 30 to 507 of the family's 1533-position model. The record is from RNAcentral.
AUUGAACGCUGGCGGCAGGCCUAACACAUGCAAGUCGAGCGGAUGAAGGGAGCUUGCUCCUGGAUUCAGCGGCGGACGGGUGAGUAAUGCCUAGGAAUCUGCCUGGUAGUGGGGGAUAACGUCCGGAAACGGGCGCUAAUACCGCAUACGUCCUGAGGGAGAAAGUGGGGGAUCUUCGGACCUCACGCUAUCAGAUGAGCCUAGGUCGGAUUAGCUAGUUGGUGGGGUAAAGGCCUACCAAGGCGACGAUCCGUAACUGGUCUGAGAGGAUGAUCAGUCACACUGGAACUGAGACACGGUCCAGACUCCUACGGGAGGCAGCAGUAGGGAAUAUUAGACAAUGGGCGAAAGCCUGAUACAGCCAUGCCGCGUGUGUGAAGAAGGUCUUCGGAUUGUAAAGCACUUUAAGUUGGGAGGAAGGGCAGUAAGUUAAUACCUUGCUGUUUUGACGUUACCAACAGAAUAAGCACCGGCUAACUUCGUG